UCACUUUCUAUUAAAAUGUUGAAUUGUGAGAAUUUGGAAGAUCCUCUACAAUGCGAAAUGAAAGAAAUGCUCGCAAAUGACAUAUAUUUAUGUUUGCAAAUAUUGCUUUAUUCUGCUGUCGCUUUUACUUGCCUCGAGUUCUGCAUUGCUAUAAUUAAACAUUACUACGCUAAUGACAGUCCACCGAGAUGUCCUCGCAAACAACAGGAACCCAUUUUUAUCGAGAUGAGAACAUUUCGUGACCUACAACCUAUUGGAAACAUAUAACUACCUAAUUCUUAUCAUAUGUAUUAAAAAAUGUUGGUAUUUAUAGAUUUAUGAUGCAAUCAAAAAUUUAUAAAUAUCAUGUUAAAUGUAUAUAUGAUGAGAAAUGCAAAGAACUUAGUAUUGUUGGUCAAAAUAGAAUUGGGGACUUGGUGUCAGCAUGCAUGCAAUUAAUAAGCUUCUUUAUUUUCUUUGCGGCAAUAUGAUUUCAAAAAUAGCUCAAUAGCUUUUUUUAGCUUUUGCUUUCAAUGUAUUUAAAAAAAAUUAAAAAAAAAACUAGCUGAAAUUUACUGUAUUGAGCAUAAAAAGAAUAAAAGCAUAUAUGUAAAAAUAAACUUAUUUUGUAGUUUCUCUUCCAAAUUUUAACAGUUCGUGUAUUGUAAUGUCGUCGUGUGAUCUUGAUUUUGAAUAUUCGCUUCAGUGCGAUUUAGAAGAAUUAUUAGCAUAUGAUGAUUUAUUUUAUUGGAGAAUAUUGCUUUACUUAACGUUCGGAUUGUUUUGUAUAUUGACAAUACUAUUAUUAAUGCGUAUAGUCUGGGAAUAUGCAUUCCGACGGAGACGUCCUCGAAGACCACCGCUACGACGGGAACCUUCUCUCAUCGAGGAGUUUCGAACAUUCCGUGACCUAUAACAUAUCUCAUCGCAUAUAAUAAAU
Molecule: long non-coding RNA, 919 nt
Organism: Nicrophorus vespilloides
Lineage: Eukaryota; Metazoa; Arthropoda; Insecta; Coleoptera; Silphidae
Exons: 3
Source: RefSeq, a predicted model, not a curated record